CACGCCGUAAACGAUGAGCACUAGGUGUCGGGGUUUAAAGACUUCGGUGCCGCAGUUAACGCAUUAAGUGCUCCGCCUGGGGAGUACGUACGCAAGUAUAAAACUCAAAGGAAUUGACGG
RNAcentral lists this ribosomal RNA (120 nucleotides) under uncultured bacterium. RNAcentral describes it as "partial 16S ribosomal RNA". It matches the Rfam family "Bacterial small subunit ribosomal RNA", at positions 796 to 916 of the family's 1533-position model. The record is from RNAcentral.